GGUGAAGAAAGUGUCGUCCCCAUAGAGGUACUAUGAAAUUGGAUGCAUAUAAGCCACUCAAAGCUCAUGUGUCAUUAUUCCUUGACGAUGAAUUAAGACGCUUCAAAGAAGGAAGCAUCUUAUUCAAUAGAAGCAAUUGCGAAGAUGUUGAAGCUAUGAUAGAGCUUCUUGAGGCUUCACAUCUGGCUUUGGAAGGCGAAAACAUUUUGCAUGAAGCGAAAGCCUUCUCAACUGGGAUUCUCCGCGAGAGAGUCUCCAGUUUGGAUGGUCGGCUCUUCAAAUGCACCGUCCAUGCUUUGGAGAUUCCGUUGCAUUGGAGGGUCCAGUGGUUCGACAUCAAAUGGCAAAUAAGCUUGUACGAGCAACGGGAGGACAAGCAAAGCAAUCUGCUUUAGCUUGCCAAGCUCAAUUUCAACACGGUCCAGGCCACACACCAAAGAGAUCUUAGAGAGAUAUCCAGGUGGUGGAGGGAUCUGGGACUCAUGGAGCACGUGGACUUCACGAGGGAUCGGCUGGUCGAGAGUUUCUUGUGUGCCCUUGGACUCUCUCAG
Eucalyptus grandis is the source of this 551-nucleotide long non-coding RNA. RefSeq lists it as uncharacterized. The transcript has 3 exons. Lineage: Eukaryota; Viridiplantae; Streptophyta; Magnoliopsida; Myrtales; Myrtaceae. The record is from RefSeq and is a predicted model, not a curated record.